AUGUAUUGUGGAGAAAGGGAGAUAUGUACUGGUGUUUUAUAUCCUCUGUACUUCUUGUGCUGGGAUAGACUAAUUAAUAAAUUUGCUUUUAUCCAGAAAACAUUGCUUCAAUCACCCUUUUCAUUUUCUAAACAAUAUCGCGCUUGCCAAUUAAUCUUGUUUUCUCACCUUUUACAAAUUCAGUUCAUGCACGCUACUCGUUUGAUAAUUGUCCCCAUUCAGCUUCACUUUUAUUCGAUUAUUUGA
Vicia faba (fava bean) is the source of this 246-nucleotide non-coding RNA. The record is from the annotation of a GenBank genome assembly. Lineage: Eukaryota; Viridiplantae; Streptophyta; Magnoliopsida; Fabales; Fabaceae.